AUCACCCUGCUUUGUGCGUGAAAUACCUGAAGUUUUGAGCCAACAGAUGUUGAAAAGGGAGCUUACUUUCUUGCAAGGGAAUGUAGACCUUACUUGUAUAAGGAAACAGGAAGCUGCAGAAGGGCACCCACCUGUGUGAGAGCAGGUUCAACAAACUUUGGGUACGGACACGGCACGGUGGGGUUUUC
This 188-nucleotide non-coding RNA is filed under the name Desulforamulus ferrireducens. RNAcentral's name for it is "Desulfotomaculum ferrireducens 6S / SsrS RNA". It matches the Rfam family "6S / SsrS RNA". From Rfam's summary of the family: E. coli 6S RNA was the first non coding RNA to be sequenced, but its function was unknown until recently. It consists of 184 nucleotides that fold into an extended hairpin structure with a large single-stranded internal bulge. Lineage: Bacteria; Bacillati; Bacillota; Clostridia; Eubacteriales; Peptococcaceae. The record is from Rfam by way of RNAcentral.